GAUGAACGCUGGCGGCGUGCCUAAUACAUGCAAGUCGAGCGAACGGACGAGAAGCUUGCUUCUCUGAUGUUAGCGGCGGACGGGUGAGUAACGCGUGGAUAACCUACCUAUAAGACUGGGAUAACUUCGGGAAACCGUAGCUAAUACCGGAUAAUAUUUUGAACCGCAUGGUUCAAAAGUGAAGGACGGUCUUGCUGUCACUUAUAGAUGGAUCCGCGCUGCAUUAGCUAGUUGGUAAGGUAACGGCUUACCAAGGCAACGAUGCAUAGCCGACCUGAGAGGGUGAUCGGCCACACUGGAACUGAGACACGGUCCAGACUCCUACGGGAGGCAGCAGUAGGGAAUCUUCCUCAAUGGGCGAAAGCCUGACGGAGCAACGCCGCGUGAGUGAUGAAGGUCUUCGGAUCGUAAAACUCUGUUAUUAGGGAAGAACAUAUGUGUAAGUAACUGUGCACAUCUUGACGGUACCUAAUCAGAAAGCCACGGCUAACUACGUG
This 497-nucleotide ribosomal RNA is filed under the name uncultured bacterium. Its description in RNAcentral is "partial 16S ribosomal RNA". It matches the Rfam family "Bacterial small subunit ribosomal RNA", at positions 28 to 507 of the family's 1533-position model. The record is from RNAcentral.